CUACGGGUUGCUGCAGUGGGGAAUAUUGCACAACGGAGGAAACUCUGAUGCAGCAACGCCGCGUGGAGGAUGACACUUUUCGGAGCGUAAACUCCUUUUAUAUAGGAAGAAGAUGACGGUACUAUAUGAAUAAGCGCCGGCUAACUCCGUGCCAGCAGCCGCGGUAAUACGGAGGGCGCAAGCGUUACUCGGAAUCACUGGGCGUAAAGAGCGUGUAGGCGGACUAAAAAGUCAGAAGUGAAAUCCUAUAGCUUAACUAUAGAACUGCUUCUGAAACUCUUAAUCUAGAAUAUGGGAGAGGUAGAUGGAAUUUCUGGUGUAGGGGUAAGAUCCGUAGAGAUCAGAAGGAAUACCGAUUGCGAAGGCGAUCUACUAGAACAUUAUUGACGCUGAGACGCGAAAGCGUGGGGAGCAAACAGGAUUAGAUACCCGGGUAGUC
RNAcentral lists this ribosomal RNA (439 nucleotides) under uncultured bacterium. RNAcentral's name for it is "partial 16S ribosomal RNA". It matches the Rfam family "Bacterial small subunit ribosomal RNA", at positions 339 to 795 of the family's 1533-position model. The record is from RNAcentral.